RNAcentral lists this long non-coding RNA (2970 nucleotides) under Callithrix jacchus (white-tufted-ear marmoset). RNAcentral describes it as "lncRNA (ENSCJAG00000072586.1)". The record is from RNAcentral. Lineage: Eukaryota; Metazoa; Chordata; Mammalia; Primates; Cebidae.
UAGAGACGGGGUGACGCCAUAUUGGCCAGGCUAGUUUCUAACUCCUGGCCUCAAGUGAUACACCCACCUUGGCCUCUCAAAGCGCUGGAAUUAUAGGUGUGAGCCACUAUGCCUGUGUAAUGUCAGUAAUUUUUUAAGUAGAAUUGUUGAAAAUGAAACAAAAUUUUUAAAGAAACUCGUAUGAUUGAACUGAUCACCCCCCUGUAAGUUGCCAAUGAACUUAAUAUGUGUGUCUGGAUUCAAUAUAAUUACAUGGCUGUUUCAAUUUCUCAUACUUUGGAAGUAGGAAGGUACCUUUUUAGAUGUUCUUUUCUACCUUUCCCCAAAAUUGUCGCAGGACAUUUAACCCCAAGUGUUGCACAGUAAGUGAAGUCUGUUUCUUUGUCUUAUUUUACCCAGCAAAACAGCAGUUUCUUGUUUCCAGGUUCACCUCUGGAGUGGGACGUGACCAGGGAGGCUGGGGUCUAGCCUAGCCUGAGUCAUGGUAACCUUCUGGAGUCUCAGCAUCUUCCUUUAAAGUGCUGGUACAUCUCUGAGUUUCCUCAUAGCACUAACUUUUGCUAUAGUAACUAAGCGUGUGAGGCCAGUGAGUAAGUGCGGGGCUGGAAAUAGAGCUGUACUUGACAAAACUGUGGAGUUCAACAUUCUCACCCUGGCCCAUGUCCUGGUGUCUCCUUUCCAAGGUUGUUUCUGCAUCCAGGAGACCCACUAACUACACCUGUAGGUACCAUAGGCUGAUUCUCUGGUAUGCUCUUCUUUUUCAUCUCUCUCCUCUAGCAAAACCAGUUCUCCAGAGAGUAUUGGAUAGGAGUCAUUUACAAUGUAGUGUAUAUUCCUCAAUAGGUUCGCUUUCCCCAUGGCAAGGACACUUAAAAUCUCAUCUCUUAUCUGCAGGACUUCCUUUUUCUGAGAGCAGUGUCAAACAUCUAGGAGCAGGUGGAGAGGCAUCUUUCAGGAGCAGGAGAUUUUUCCUAUGUAUCACAUCUGGAAGGCAGGGUUGUUAUAUGACUGCAUGAUGAUAUCUUGAUCACCUAUGCCUUUAUUGAUGGAAAAUAACACCCCUCAAAGUACUCUCCAUAUAUUUAUGGGUGUUUUUCAGGAGUGGAAGACACCACUGUCUGCUUUUCCCAAAGUCAUCCCCUCUAUCCAACCCCAACAGCAGUACAUGUCCCCAGUCCAGGUACUUCCCUACUCACAGACCACAGUUUUGUUUGGGUAUCAGGCAGCUGCAUUGUUCAGAGAGCUUAGACCCCACUCCCAUAAAGAUAGAGCAUCUUAUUCCUGUAAGCCAUGCAAGGGUAUCUUGUUUCCCAGUUCAGUGGUUGGUAUAGGCACUUGGCAUAUAGUGCAAUUCUAGCUCAUGUGUUGCAAGGAGCACUGGAGAAAGAGGGUACUUCUGGAAAAGUUAUCUUUGCCAUUAAAGAGGGAUACAAGGAAGGAGUAUUCUGUUUUAAGUUUGUGUGAGCUUGUGAUGCCUAAAACAUCCACAGUCAUCUGGCCUGAGAUGGGAUAGCCUGAGACAAAAGCCAACAUACCUGGGAGAGCAGAGCAGAAAGACAGAAAGUCCUUGAUGGUGUCAUUGGAUUGGGAACCACCCAACCCUGCCAUUUCUUAACUUCCAGGCUCUUUGUUACAUGAGAAAAUAACCCUCUUUUAUUGCUUAAGCCAUUUUAGCUUGGUUCAUGUUUAUUUGGUGGAUAUGCUGGAGUGCUGCUCCCUAUUCAGAAAUAGCCUUAGUUCUUCUCUCCACAAGGGUGCUAUUUGGCAGCUUCGGCUCCUCAUACCACCUGGACAGAGACCACAAGAGCUCCUCCUGUGGGGAACCUUUUGCAAUCAUUACAUUAACCUCAGGGGAAACAGACCUGAGGUAACAACGAAACAGCUGUUAACGUUGACAAUUCAUCAUAGGCAUGGGAUCAAUCUUUCCAGGAAUUAUCCCUUGUAAUUCCUGACAAUGCAGCAGAGACUGGGAUGUAACUUUUUUUUUUUUGAGAGGGAGUCUCGCUCUGUCACCCAGGUUGAAGUGCAAUGGUUCAAUCUCCACUCACUGCAACCUCCACCUAUCGGGUUCAAGCGAUACUCCUGCCUCAGCCUCCCGAGUAACUGGAAUUAUAGGCAUGUGCCACCAUGCCUGGCUAAUUUUUGUAGUUUUUAGUAGAGACGGGGUUUCACCAUGUUGGUCAUGCCGGUCUCCAACUCCUGACCUCGUGAUCCACCUGCCUUGGCCUCCCAUAGUGCUGGGAUUACAGGUGUGAGCCAUGGUGCCCAGCCGGAUGUAACUUUUAACAAGACUUCACAGAAAGUUCAAGGAUGAUGGAGGGGAAGUGCAUAUGCACAGUAGCUCGCAACUGAAGUGUGCAUGUCUCAGGCUAUCUUCAGAGUGUCUUGGCAGACCAGCUCCUGGUUUUAUGCCUGCUUUAUCUGGGGCAAUUUGGCUAACCCCUUGCCCCCUCUGCCUUGUACCAUGCUUCUGCCGCCAGAGUAGAAAGAUUUCCCUCACACUAGUCCUUGGGCUGUACAAAGUAUAGUCCAAGUACUGGCAGCAUCAGCUUCACCUGGGAAAUUGUGAGAAAUGCAGAAUCAUAGGCCCUGCCCUAGACCCACUGAAAUAUAAUCUGUAUAAACCUUCUAGGUGGUUUGUAAGAACAUUAAAGUUUAACAAGUUAUUCUAGUCUAAGACUUGCCUCUUGUGCCUUCAUUUCCUGUUCCAGAUUUGAACUCUACCUGGGAUGACUGGCUAUGGAAACAUUUUUUUUUUUUCAGGGAAAACUCCACCCUCAUAGUGAUGUGGACUUUUGGGCUCAACAGGACACUCAUACAAUUCCAUACAACCAGUACAUAGUCUCAAAUCCAGGCUGGUCAGUUUAAAUAAAUGGUCACUAUGUGGCAUGAAAAGCCCAAUCCAGGUAAGGGCUAAGCCUUUUCAACUUUUAAAAAAAUUAUAAAAGUACCAUUAAAAUAUUAACAUUU